This 249-nucleotide ribosomal RNA is filed under the name Clostridioides difficile. Its description in RNAcentral is "partial 23S ribosomal RNA". It matches the Rfam family "Bacterial large subunit ribosomal RNA", at positions 410 to 660 of the family's 2925-position model. Lineage: Bacteria; Bacillati; Bacillota; Clostridia; Peptostreptococcales; Peptostreptococcaceae. The record is from RNAcentral.
GAGUACCACGGGACACGUGAAACCCUGUGGGAAGCAGGAGGGACCACCCUCCAAGGCUAAAUACUACCUAGUGACCGAUAGCGUAUAGUACCGUGAGGGAAAGGUGAAAAGAACCCCGGGAGGGGAGCGAAAUAGAACCUGAAACCCUGCACUUACAAGCUGUGGAAGCACAUUUCUUGUGUGACCGCGUACUUUUUGUAGAACGGGCCAACGAGUUACGUUAAGUAGCAAGGUUAAGCACUUAAGGUG